This 306-nucleotide long non-coding RNA is filed under the name Serinus canaria (Common canary). RNAcentral describes it as "lncRNA (ENSSCAG00000005994.1)". Lineage: Eukaryota; Metazoa; Chordata; Aves; Passeriformes; Fringillidae. The record is from RNAcentral.
GGCAGAGCAGGACAGGUGCCAUCACCUGUGUCCCCAUGGAGCCUGCAUUGCUGCUGGAGGUGGAUCUGCCCUGGGACACUGGGCAGGAACAGGCAGGCACUGGGAUGAGCACAUUGUGCCCCUGGAAAGAGGAAAGCAGAACCUUGCCCAUGGAAAUGCUUUUGUGCUUUAAAGGCCAGAUCACAGAACAUCUUCUCUGAUUCUUUCAGGGGCUGUUUGAAUGUGAGUUCCAGCUGCACUGGGUCUGCUGAAAUGUUCCCAGGCCUGGCUGGAGGAUCAGUGUUGCUUUAAAACCUGAAUAAACAC